UUGCACGCUGGCGGCAUGCUUUACACAUGCAAGUCGAACGGUAACAGGUCUUCGGAUGCUGACGAGUGGCGAACGGGUGAGUAAUACAUCGGAACGUGCCCAGACGUGGGGGAUAACGAGGCGAAAGCUUUGCUAAUACCGCAUACGAUCUAAGGAUGAAAGCAGGGGACCGCAAGGCCUUGCGCGUUUGGAGCGGCCGAUGGCAGAUUAGGUAGUUGGUGGGAUAAAAGCUUACCAAGCCGACGAUCUGUAGCUGGUCUGAGAGGACGACCAGCCACACUGGGACUGAGACACGGCCCAGACUCCUACGGGAGGCAGCAGUGGGGAAUUUUGGACAAUGGGCGAAAGCCUGAUCCAGCAAUGCCGCGUGCAGGAUGAAGGCCUUCGGGUUGUAAACUGCUUUUGUACGGAACGAAAAGGCUCUGGCUAAUACCUGGGGCACAUGACGGUACCGUAAGAAUAAGCACCGGCUAACUACGUG
This 481-nucleotide ribosomal RNA is filed under the name uncultured bacterium. Its description in RNAcentral is "partial 16S ribosomal RNA". It matches the Rfam family "Bacterial small subunit ribosomal RNA", at positions 30 to 507 of the family's 1533-position model. The record is from RNAcentral.